CGGUGCGUGUUGACUUACAUGGUGACGAUUUUUACUUGCUGCAUGAAUAAAUUGGCUGUUUUUAUCAAAUUUGAAACGAUGAAUCUGAAAAAUUCUGAAGGAUUCUACAAAAUUAAACAAGGUAAGUCAAAAUUAAUAGUUUUCUUGCUAGAAAAAUUUACUAACAAAACAUUGAAACAAAAAGGUUUAUAAAUGAACAUAUUUUUAUUAAAGAUUCAGUUCGGUUCACAUAUUUAUAUCAAAAUUUAUAAUUGUGCUAUCCUCUUAUUCCAAAAGUGCAAUCAUCACAAAUCUAACGUUAACAUUCACGCCCCGUCAGUAAAAGGUCGUGAGUUUGAUAUUCGAUCAAGUAUAAAACAACGAAACAGGAGAUAAAUUACAAGGCGCUUUCAAUUUUAUCACAUAUUUCAAGCUCAAACAUAGCAAUAAUUCGAUUACAGUAUAAUUUAACAGUUACAGAAUACGGAAUGUAACCCUUUUCAAUAUAAGACACCUGUUGAAAUUCAUUUAUUGUUUGACUCGUUGCAAAUAUGCAGCCCAGAGUAAAUCUUUGUACUCCUUUGCGGCGUUUUCCGGAUUGCCAGCUUUGGUGAUUCCUCUGCCAACCACAGCUACAUCUGCACCGCCUUCCAGGAUAACCGAAGAUGGCGAAUUGUACUGCUGGCCUAAAUCAUCACCGCUAACACCCAGCUGGACACCAGGUGUCAAUUGCAAAUACCCCGGUUCAUCAACAAAUAGUUUCUGCUGGCAGACAUAACCAGCGAUCAAAUCCGAAUAGUUCUUUCCCAUUGUAAUGGUUGCGUUGGUAUACUUCUCAUCGAUAAGACUUCCCUUGGCGCUGCACUCAGCUAGCAAGAACACUCCGAGUUCAUUGGAGCCUCGAGCCAACAGCAACGCGUCUAGGACACCAUGUCCAGUCAAUGAGUGUGCAGUGACCAGUGAGGCCCAUGAAGCAAUCUUAUACACGCCUCUUGUAUACUGAUAUUCGACUGUUUUUCCAAUGUCAGCAAACUUGCGGUCUUCGAACAGCAAAAAGUUGUGCUUCUUGGCGAUCUGCGACAGAGUGCUGGUAAAAUUGUCGUUGAAAUGCUCCACGAUGUCGACGUGCAACUUCAGGGAGCAGAUAUGUGGGCCGACUGAUUCGGCAAGGUUCAGAAUAUCAGUGGCGUCGGUCAAAUCAGCAGCAAGGACAAGAUUCGUCUUCUUUUCAAUUAUGAUCUUGAAAAGGCGCUUGGCCACUUCGUUCUUAGCGUAGGGAAAACGAUCCUCGAAAGUCAUCUCCAGGCGUUUGCUGCGCUUUGUCACGACAGAAUUGGUGGUGACUUGAGAGUUUUUCAAAUAGUCCCCAACCUUCUUGCAGCUUUCUUCGGUGACGCAUCCAGCGUCUUUCAGAUAUUUCAUUAGAGAAGUCAUAGUGAGAAGAGCAUGCAUCUUGAUUCCAUGUUGUGUUAGAAACUUCUCACCGCCUUGUUCGCGAUUGAGAAGCACAAUUGCAUCAGUCACCUUCAUUCCUUCUUUGAUUAAAUCUUUUGUGGUCUCUAAAAUGUGAAAAAAUAAUAGUUUAACAAUGAUCUAAUCCAGAUCCCAUGAGACUGAUCAAUCAUGAAAUUAAAUUUCACAAAAUACAUGCAUUGGUCAAUAUUCUUCUGAUUUAAAUAGAAAUUUACCUAAAAUACUGCUGCCAGAGGUGACAACAUCUUCAAUAAUCAAACAUUUAUCUCCCUCUUGGAAGAUGCCCUCUAUGAGUUUCUUGGUGCCAUAAUCCUUGGCUUCCUUUCUUCUCAUCACCAUGGGUAGAUUGGUUUUAAAAGACACAAUUGUUGCAAUAGGCAAAGCAGUGUACGGCACACCACAAAUUACUUCUUGGCUCUCAAUGGUGUGAAGAGUGUCAAUGAUCAGGUCAGAAAGGAUACCCUAGUUUAAGAACACCAACAUUAGUAUACAUAUUACCGAUUAACAAACUUGGACGUUUCAUCAGACAAUAAAUAGACUGAAAACCUACCAUAAUUUUCGGAUAGCUAACCAAGACGCGAAGGUCGCAGUAUACAGGUGUCAUGAGGCCGACUUUAGUCUUGUAUUCGCCAAAUUUGAUUGCGUUUAUCUUGAAUAGUUCCACAGCAAACUCUUUCAACCUUAAUUCGCGCUGUUCCAUCGUGCUUAGUGGUAUAAACUGGAAAUUUGGAAACGAAAUUAAAAUAAACGUUCUAACCGCGUGUUGAACGUACGCCGCUGUUUGGAUCAAAUGCAGAGGUUGGAUUUUUCAAUGGCAGGCAACCACGAUGACAGCAAUGUACUUCAUCUCUCCAGAAGUUGUGAGCAGUUGUUAACAACAUUUAGUCGUUUAAACAUAGAUUUACAAUUUACACUUUAUGUAAAUACUAAUGUAAUCAGCAGGUGCCCAGCCUCUUGAAUCCAACCACACUGGAUAACAGCUUGUUUCAGAUUAAGAAUCAUUCUUACAUCAGACUGU
Dalotia coriaria is the source of this 2470-nucleotide long non-coding RNA. RefSeq lists it as uncharacterized. NCBI's taxonomy places the organism in Eukaryota, Metazoa, Arthropoda, Insecta, Coleoptera, Staphylinidae. The record is from RefSeq and is a predicted model, not a curated record. The transcript has 4 exons.